Molecule: ribosomal RNA, 378 nt
Filed under: Pseudomonas sp. LL21
Lineage: Bacteria; Pseudomonadati; Pseudomonadota; Gammaproteobacteria; Pseudomonadales; Pseudomonadaceae
Description: bacterial SSU rRNA
Rfam family: Bacterial small subunit ribosomal RNA
Source: RNAcentral
CAUGCAAGUCGAGCGGCAGCACGGGUACUUGUACCUGGUGGCGAGCGGCGGACGGGUGAGUAAUGCCUAGGAAUCUGCCUGGUAGUGGGGGAUAACGCUCGGAAACGGACGCUAAUACCGCAUACGUCCUACGGGAGAAAGCAGGGGACCUUCGGGCCUUGCGCUAUCAGAUGAGCCUAGGUCGGAUUAGCUAGUUGGUGAGGUAAUGGCUCACCAAGGCGACGAUCCGUAACUGGUCUGAGAGGAUGAUCAGUCACACUGGAACUGAGACACGGUCCAGACUCCUACGGGAGGCAGCAGUGGGGAAUAUUGGACAAUGGGCGAAAGCCUGAUCCAGCCAUGCCGCGUGUGUGAAGAAGGUCUUCGGAUUGUAAAUCA